UCGUGGAGUGAUUUGUCUGCUUAAUUGCGAUAACGAACGAGACCUUACCCUGCUAAAUAGCCCGGCCGGCUUUGGCUGGCCGCCGGCUUCUUAGAGGGACUAUCGGCUCAAGCCGAUGGAAGUUUGAGGCAAUAACA
RNAcentral lists this ribosomal RNA (137 nucleotides) under uncultured eukaryote. Its description in RNAcentral is "partial 18S ribosomal RNA". It matches the Rfam family "Eukaryotic small subunit ribosomal RNA", at positions 1299 to 1458 of the family's 1831-position model. The record is from RNAcentral.